UACGUAGGGGGCAAGCGUUGUCCGGAUUCAUUGGGCGUAAAGCGCGUGUAGGCGGCCACGUAAGUCCGCUCUGAAAGCCCGGGGCUCAACCCCGGGAGGCGGGUGGAUACUGCGUGGCUCGAGUCCGGAAGAGGCGAGUGGAAUUCCCGGUGUAGCGGUGAAAUGCGCAGAUAUCGGGAGGAACACCAAUGGCGAAGGCAGCUCGCUGGGACGUGACUGACGCUGAGACGCGAAAGCGUGGGGAGCAAACAGG
Molecule: ribosomal RNA, 253 nt
Filed under: uncultured bacterium
Lineage: Bacteria
Description: partial 16S ribosomal RNA
Rfam family: Bacterial small subunit ribosomal RNA
Source: RNAcentral